UGUGGGAGUGAGCCUGCUCGCGAUUGCGGAGUGUCAGUCGACAUCGUCGUUGUCUGAUACUCCAUCAUCGCGAGCAGGCUCACUCCCACA
This 90-nucleotide unclassified non-coding RNA is filed under the name Pseudomonas mandelii. The record is from RNAcentral. Lineage: Bacteria; Pseudomonadati; Pseudomonadota; Gammaproteobacteria; Pseudomonadales; Pseudomonadaceae.